AUUGAACGCUGGCGGAAUGCUUUACACAUGCAAGUCGAACGGUAGAGGGGGCAACCCCUUGAGAGUGGCGAACGGGUGAGUAAUAUAUCGGAACGUGCCCAGUCGUGGGGAUAACGUAGCGAAAGUUACGCUAAUACCGCAUACGAUCUAAGGAUGAAAGCGGGGGAUCGCAAGACCUCGCGCGAUUGGAGCGGCCGAUAUCAGAUUAGGUAGUUGGUGGGGUAAAGGCUCACCAAGCCAACGAUCUGUAGCUGGUCUGAGAGGACGACCAGCCACACUGGAACUGAGACACGGUCCAGACUCCUACGGGAGGCAGCAGUGGGGGAAUUUUUGGACAAUGGACGCAAGUCUGAUCCAGCCAUUCCGCGUGCAGGAUGAAGGCCCUCGGGUUGUAAACUGCUUUUGUACGGAACGAAAGGUUUCUCUUAAUACGAGGAGCUCAUGACGGUACCGUAAGAAUAAGCACCGGCUAACUACGUGCCAGCAGCCGC
This 491-nucleotide ribosomal RNA is filed under the name uncultured bacterium. Its description in RNAcentral is "bacterial SSU rRNA". It matches the Rfam family "Bacterial small subunit ribosomal RNA", at positions 30 to 518 of the family's 1533-position model. The record is from RNAcentral.